GUAACCAGUAUAUUAUAUCCAGCCAUCAC
RNAcentral lists this non-coding RNA (29 nucleotides) under Rattus norvegicus (Norway rat). The record is from RNAcentral. Lineage: Eukaryota; Metazoa; Chordata; Mammalia; Rodentia; Muridae.